GAUGAACGCUGGCGGCGUGCCUAAUACAUGCAAGUCGAGCGAACAGACGAGGAGCUUGUUCCUCUGACGUUAGAGUCGGACGGGUGAGUAACACGUGGAUAACCUUCCUAUAAGACUGGGAUAAUUCCGGGAAACGGGAGCUUAUAACGGAUAAUAUAUUGAACAGCAUGGUUCAAUAGUGAAAGACGGUUUUGCUGUCACUUAUAGAAGGAUCCGCGCUGCAGUAGCUAGUUGGUAAGGUAACGGCUUACCAAGGCAACGAUCCGUAGCGGACCUGAGAGGCUGAUCGGCCACACUGGGACUGAGUCACGGUCCAGACUCCUACGGGAGGCAGCGGUGGGGAAUCUUCCACAAUGGGCGCGAACCUGACGGAGCAACGCCGCGUGUGUUCUGAAGGUCUUCGGAUUGUAAAUCUCUGUUAUGAGGGAAGAACAGAUAUGUGAUUACCUAUGCACUUCUUGACGGUACCUAAUCAGAAAGCCACGGCUAACUACGUC
RNAcentral lists this ribosomal RNA (497 nucleotides) under uncultured bacterium. RNAcentral's name for it is "partial 16S ribosomal RNA". It matches the Rfam family "Bacterial small subunit ribosomal RNA", at positions 28 to 507 of the family's 1533-position model. The record is from RNAcentral.